RNAcentral lists this ribosomal RNA (354 nucleotides) under uncultured bacterium. RNAcentral describes it as "bacterial SSU rRNA". It matches the Rfam family "Bacterial small subunit ribosomal RNA", at positions 28 to 408 of the family's 1533-position model. The record is from RNAcentral.
GAUGAACGCUGGCGGUAUGCUUUACACAUGCAAGUCGUACGAGAGUUUUGAACUCAAGUGGCGGACGGGUGAGUAACACGUAAGAAUUUGCCUUUAGGAGGGGGACAACAACUGGAAACGGUUGCUAAUACCCCAUAUGCUUUCGAGUGAAACGGUUUUUCCGCCUAAAGAGAAGCUUGCGGCUGAUUAGCUUGUUGGUAAGGUAAUGGCUUACCAAGGCGACGAUCAGUAUCUGGUUUGAGAGGACGAUCAGACACACUGGAACUGAGACACGGUCCAGACUCCUACGGGAGGCAGCAGUGGGGAAUUUUCCGCAAUGGGCGAAAGCCUGACGGAGCAAUACCGCGUGAGGGA